CAGAGUAGGGGGUCCCGCGUAAAGUGCUGCCAGAAUGGGGAGUUGUAUGGCGGACGAAGGACUGCUUGUCAGGCCGCGAUGGGAUCGCCGCACCCGCUGC
This 100-nucleotide non-coding RNA is filed under the name uncultured Faecousia sp. RNAcentral's name for it is "THF riboswitch". It matches the Rfam family "THF (Tetrahydrofolate) riboswitch aptamer". From Rfam's summary of the family: THF riboswitch presents a pseudoknot that joins P1-P2 and the loop of P3 and two THF binding. The record is from RNAcentral. Lineage: Bacteria; Bacillati; Bacillota; Clostridia; Eubacteriales; Oscillospiraceae.